RNAcentral lists this long non-coding RNA (1032 nucleotides) under Cottoperca gobio. RNAcentral describes it as "lncRNA (ENSCGOG00000016571.1)". The record is from RNAcentral. Lineage: Eukaryota; Metazoa; Chordata; Actinopteri; Perciformes; Bovichtidae.
UGGAUGGUGAGGUGGAGGAGGGGUGACUGGAACAACACAGAGGAGCAGCAGGGCAGGGUGAAUGGACACAGGAGGAUCAAAUCAACAAUCGCAGGGGGAGGGAAAAACACAAGGACAGAUCUCCGCCAAAUCCAGGAUCAUCGUCACCUUCAGGCCCAUAUUCGCUCCCGUCUGUAUGUCCAUCUUGAGUACUGUGGCUCGAGCUGGUAUGGUUCCACCAUAUUUAACUCGCCCGCAUGAUCUAAUUCCACGACACCGGCAUCCUCUUCAAUAAACUUCUCCAUCUUGAAAGUGCAACGAGUCUAUUGACGACUCACUGUAACUUGAUUCUGACUAAAUAUCGGAGCCAGAGUCCGACAUCGUCACGUCUGCCAUGCUGUCUGUGUAUUCAACAAGUGGACUCGUGUUCUACUUGUGACGUAUCGUGACAUCACAAAAUGGCGGCGGCUGUUUCUCGGUAGCGGUGAUGUCAACAUCGGUGGUCGACAUAAUAAAAUGUUUUUUAUUAAAUACUGCGGUUAUAGUGUCAUUAAUAACACAUUAUUUUGCACCACAAAUAGCAUUUAUUAUCAUCAUUAAAAUUUCAUGUGUAGCAUUUCGUAGGCUCUUAAGUAAAAGUAUCAUCAGCAACAUGUACUUAGAAGGUGAGCGAAUUUAACCGAAAAUACCUACAAACGACAUACCCAAAGUAAAUUGAAAGCUGCUCUUCAACCAUUUGGACCAGCUGCAUGACUUUGGUCUCAUUCAAAAGAUCUUAUUGUUCUUGCAAAACAGUGAAGAAUUACUCCAAGUGCUUCUGGCACUGAGUAAUAGUGGUAUGAAUAUACUGAAUUUUAAGAAAAUACAGUGCAAUUUUGAGUGUACUUGCUAGUUUGAGGAGCUGAUUGUACCGCUGUUGUGAUUUUCAUCUCCAUAUUAAAAUAGACGAGAUUCUAAGCUUUCCAAAAAUAUAAUUUUUUUUUUUUUUUUCACACUCUAAGAGGUUUUAAAGCAUUGGAAAUUAAAAUGGUCAUGCAGAAUGGCCCACUUUAG